UACGUAGGGUGCAAGCGUUGUCCGGAAUUAUUGGGCGUAAAGGGCGCGUAGGCGGUCCAUCGCGUCGGGGGUGAAAAGCUGGGGCUUAACCCCAGUCCUGCUUCCGAUACGGGUGGACUAGAGGUAUGCAGGGGAGAACGGAAUUCCUGGUGUAGCGGUGAAAUGCGCAGAUAUCAGGAGGAACACCGGUGGCGAAGGCGGUUCUCUGGGCAUUACCUGACGCUGAGGAGCGAAAGCAUGGGGAGCAAACAGG
Molecule: ribosomal RNA, 253 nt
Filed under: uncultured bacterium
Lineage: Bacteria
Description: partial 16S ribosomal RNA
Rfam family: Bacterial small subunit ribosomal RNA
Source: RNAcentral